Molecule: long non-coding RNA, 225 nt
Organism: Trifolium pratense (red clover)
Lineage: Eukaryota; Viridiplantae; Streptophyta; Magnoliopsida; Fabales; Fabaceae
Exons: 3
Source: RefSeq, a predicted model, not a curated record
UGUGGCAGUUGUCAUUCCAAGAACUACCUUACAACCAGAGACAACUCUUUUACCUGAGUGGUUUGCUGCUGCAUCUUUUGGACUGGUCACAGUGUUUACCUUACUGCUUCGCAAUGUUCCUGAUUUGCAAUCAAAUUUAUUAUCAACUGUUGACAAUCUGAAUUUGUUAAAGGAUGGCCUUCCUGGAGUCCUUGUUACUGCACUUGUUCUGGGGGUACACGAACU